UACGUCGAUUUCAAGCUUCAAUUAUCAAAUGCUCACUCGCCUCAUCUGGCGUGUUGCCACUAGCCGAGUUAGUUGUAGGAUGUGCGCGUGUGGAGACGUAGGACUGUAGAACCAUAGCGAGUUUGAAGUUAUAAUACUAUAUAAUAGCGAUUUAUUGCUGAUUUUUUCAUAAAAGAAUAGUGGUAGUGAUGAUAGCCGGUGAGUAUAUACGAUUUCCGUUUUUCGUACAUAAUAAUUGUUCUACAGUCUAA
Molecule: non-coding RNA, 251 nt
Organism: Cinara cedri
Lineage: Eukaryota; Metazoa; Arthropoda; Insecta; Hemiptera; Aphididae
Source: the annotation of a GenBank genome assembly